UACUCGAGUGGCGAACGGGUGAGUAACACGUGGGUGAUCUGCCCUGCACUUCGGGAUAAGCCUGGGAAACUGGGUCUAAUACCGGAUAGGAGCCAUUUUUAGUGUGAUGGUUGGAAAGUUUUUUCGGUGUAGGAUGAGCUCGCGGCCUAUCAGCUUGUUGGUGGGGUAAUGGCCUACCAAGGCGACGACGGGUAGCCGGCCUGAGAGGGUGUACGGCCACAUUGGGACUGAGACACGGCCCAG
RNAcentral lists this ribosomal RNA (243 nucleotides) under uncultured Actinomycetales bacterium. RNAcentral's name for it is "partial 16S ribosomal RNA". It matches the Rfam family "Bacterial small subunit ribosomal RNA", at positions 88 to 334 of the family's 1533-position model. The record is from RNAcentral. Lineage: Bacteria; Bacillati; Actinomycetota; Actinomycetes; Actinomycetales.